UCCAGACUCCUACGGGAGGCAGCAGUGGGGAAUAUUGGGCAAUGGACGCAAGUCUGACCCAGCAACGCCGCGUGAAGGAAGAAGGUUUUCGGAUUGUAAACUAUUUUAGACAGGGAAGAAAAAAGACAGUACCUGUAGAAUAAGCUCCGGCUAACUACGUGCCAGCAGCCGCGGUAAUACGUAGGGAGCAAGCGUUAUCCGGAAUUAUUGGGUGUAAAGGGUGCGUAGACGGGACAGCAAGUUAGUUGUGAAAGCCCUCGGCUUAACUGAGGAACUGCAACUAAAACUAUUGUUCUUGAGUGCAGGAGAGGAAAGCGGAAUUCCUAGUGUAGCGGUGAAAUGCGUAGAUAUUAGGAGGAACACCAGUGGCGAAGGCGGCUUUCUGGACUGUAACUGACGUUGAGGCGCGAAAGUGUGGGGAGCAAACAGGAUUAGAUACCCCUGUAU
Molecule: ribosomal RNA, 447 nt
Filed under: uncultured bacterium
Lineage: Bacteria
Description: bacterial SSU rRNA
Rfam family: Bacterial small subunit ribosomal RNA
Source: RNAcentral